Molecule: transfer RNA, 88 nt
Filed under: archaeon
Lineage: Archaea
Also listed under: 3 other names
Description: tRNA-Ser
Rfam family: tRNA
About the family: Transfer RNA (tRNA) molecules are approximately 80 nucleotides in length. Their secondary structure includes four short double-helical elements and three loops (D, anti-codon, and T loops).
Source: RNAcentral
GCGGGGUUCUCCUAGCCUGGUAGGGAGCAGGCCUGCUAAGUCUGUGGUCCAUAGGGCCACGCGGGUUCGAAUCCCGCACCCCGCGCCA